CCAGGCAGGGUAGAGGUCCCUUCACACUCACAUCUGGAGCUCUUACUCCUUCUCCAAAACCUCCCACCUGUCUCCAGCUCAGAGCCGAGCAUGAUGACAGGGGACGGGGAACUUGUUCUGCCUUUUCAUUUCCUCCUUGAAAUAUCUUCUUUCUUAUACCUGUAGGCCUAGACCAGGCAGCUUGUCCUUCAGAGCUGAGUAUUUGCCAUCUGUUUCAAGCUGGCCCAUUUCUGGCAUCUACCCCUGGGGCAAACGGUGGCCUCCA
This 265-nucleotide long non-coding RNA is filed under the name Homo sapiens (human). Its description in RNAcentral is "HSALNT0006883". The record is from RNAcentral. Lineage: Eukaryota; Metazoa; Chordata; Mammalia; Primates; Hominidae.